AUUGAACGCUGGCGGCAGGCUUAACACAUGCAAGUCGAGCGGUAACAGAGGGAAGCUUGCUUCUCUGCUGACGAGCGGCGGACGGGUGAGUAAUGCCUAGGAAUCUGCCUAGUAGUGGGGGAUAACUUGCCGAAAGGUCAGCUAAUACCGCAUACGUCCUACGGGAGAAAGGAGGGGACCUUCGGGCCUUUCGCUAUUAGAUGAGCCUAGGUCGGAUUAGUUAGUUGGUGAGGUAAUGGCUCACCAAGACCGCGAUCCGUAACUGGUCUGAGAGGAUGAUCAGUCACACUGGAACUGAGACACGGUCCAGACUCCUACGGGAGGCAGCAGUGGGGAAUAUUGGACAAUGGGGGGAACCCUGAUCCAGCCAUGCCGCGUGUGUGAAGAAGGUCUUAGGAUUGUAAAGCACUUUAAGUUGGGAGGAAGAGCAGUUAACUAAUAUUUGACUGUUUUGACGUUACCGACAGAAUAAGCACCGGCUAACUUCGUGCCAGCCGCCGCGGUAA
This 506-nucleotide ribosomal RNA is filed under the name uncultured bacterium. RNAcentral's name for it is "partial 16S ribosomal RNA". It matches the Rfam family "Bacterial small subunit ribosomal RNA", at positions 30 to 523 of the family's 1533-position model. The record is from RNAcentral.